This 732-nucleotide long non-coding RNA is filed under the name Rattus norvegicus (Norway rat). RNAcentral describes it as "long non-coding RNA NONRATT029783". The record is from RNAcentral. Lineage: Eukaryota; Metazoa; Chordata; Mammalia; Rodentia; Muridae.
AGACACCAGAGUAGCAGUUUGUCUACCACGGGGACGUGCCACCAGUUAACCCCCAACAGAUCCCAGGAGACUCACAGACCUGUGAUGGUGGUGGUGCUGACAUUUCUUCCAGCACCUAUGCUGCUGGUCGUGGCCUAUGGGUUUUGGAAGAAGAGACACAUGGGAAGAUACAACUUGGACAGCAACUAUGCUAAAUCCUGGCUACACCUUCCUGAAGGACCAGAGACACUCUGGAAGCCUGCUUGCUCUAAGAUAACUCAGUGAGCUCGGAAUCUGUUUCCAGUGGGCUCAGAAGGCUGAAAGAGGACCAAAGACGAGGCAAUGGCCCUGGGGCAGGAGGACAGUGGAGCUACCUUCCCUUUACCAUGGUCACUAUGUCCUCAGCUCCCUCUGUUCACUUCAAACACCUCUUACGUUUGGAGACAAGAAUCAGGUCUCAGGAGACCCCCCCGGAGCAGCCAGUGUUUCUAGAGUCCUGUUCUGGAUGAGAAGAAACAAAGACUAAGACCUGGGCCACAGAAGAAUUGGUAGCAGAGCUGAUCAAGACCACAUGUCUUCUGAUGUUCCCUGACUGUGACUGCUGGUCCCUUCUGACCUGGGAGCCUACAGGUCACACUUGUUUCUACUUGUUUCCUGCCUGCCAUCCCUUUCAGGACCAUGACAGUCUUCAGCUACAAGGGCCAUCCUCUCUCUCCCAAGAUCAAGGCAAAGCCUGGGUUUCCCCACUCGAGU